RNAcentral lists this long non-coding RNA (251 nucleotides) under Lathyrus oleraceus (garden pea). Its description in RNAcentral is "Pisum sativum (pea) long non-coding RNA (PSAT_LNC037534)". Lineage: Eukaryota; Viridiplantae; Streptophyta; Magnoliopsida; Fabales; Fabaceae. The record is from RNAcentral.
UACAAACUGCUCAAGUAACUAUCAAACGAUCAUGAAAUAAACUCAAGCAAAUUUAAAAAGAUAAAUGAAUAAUUAAUUGGAUCAAAAUAAAGCUAUUUAAUAAAAAUCAAUUAAAGUAUUCAAUUAAUUAAAUCAAGCAAGAUUAUUUAAUAUAAUUAAUCAUUCAAAUGCAACAACAAAUAAAAGAGAGGGAGAAAAAUAAACAAUCAAGCAAACAAAAUAAUCAAAAAAAAUAAUAAAGGAAAGAAAAC